AGUGGAGCACCUAAAUUUCUCCAGCAGUACAUCACUACCCUCUCGCUCCCCAGCAAAAUUUCGAACUGCGUUGCGCUACGCUUGUCGACCAGCGAUGCGGCCUGCGGUGAGUCCCGGCGGCGGAAGGAGGAUGUCCCCGGGCGAAGAGGCUCUGCGGUCGUUGAAGAGGCCGCGCCACCCCGUGGAUCCCGGCUCCGGCUCCGACCCCGGCUCCAGCUCCGGCUCGGAAUCCGACGGCGAUUUCGUCAGCGACUUGAGGCAGAUCGCGUGCCUGCUGCGGUUGAUCAAGGGCGGGCCCAACAAGGAUCGCCAGAAGAUGUGCGAGCAGAUCAUCGCCAGUGUUGCAGCCAAUAUUCAGACUAUGCUUGAAGAUACCAAGUCCAAGUUUGAGAAGGAAAGGCAGAACUUGCUGAAAGUAUUGUCAGGCACUUCGAAAGAGUGUGAAAGUUCAUUGAACGAAGAGUACACCAAGCUUCAGGAAACAUAUGAAAUGUUCUGUGAAGAAAAUGAUGCACACUUACAAACCUUCAAAGACCUAUUCUCACAAGUUGAAGUUGAGAAAAAGAAACUGCUUGAGCAGUAUCAAUAUCAGAGGAAGGAGACGGCUACAUUGUCUGAACUUGGUGAAACCUUCUCAGAGAAGAUAACAAAUGCCAAACCAUCACCGAAAAGGAUGAAGCAGGAUGACAAGUCUUUUAUCAUCUUCCGCAAGUCGAUUGGUUCAUAUCUCGAGUGCGCAUCGGACGACGAUUUUGACCUUGAUGAUGAAUGACGCUGCUUCUCUUGUCCAACAUACUGAUCCUUUGAAGCGACACAUACAAAACGAUCUUGCUAUUUUUCUUUUUUUUUUUCACGUUUCCUCCUUUAACCGACAUCUUAUAGAACAUCUUAAGGCCAUGUUCGCUUAAUCCCCUUGCCACAGGGAUUGAAGGGGAUUGGGGAGGUUUGAGAAGGAUUUUGACUUGCAAGGGAUUUAAUCCCCUCCAAUCCCUUUCAAACCUCUUCAAACCCUUCCAAACCGAACAAGGCCUAAGGGUAUAUAUAUACUCCCUCUGUUCACUUUUAUAAGGCUUUGUAGACGUUUCAGACAGUGUGCAAAACAGCACAAUUUCACUUGUCUGAAACGACUUAUAAAAGUGAACGGAGGGAGUAGGUCAUAGGAGAGAAGGCUUCACAGUUUGUAUUAGGUACAUUGCCUCGGACCCUUUUUUCUGACAUAGGUACAUUUCCUCAGACUCUUGAAAAGGAAGUGUUAUCAUAAAUCUGUCUGCAAUGUUGGAUUGGCUUGAGAGGUUGGUGUAAGGCCCCAGAUUUAAAACUAGCUUCGACCCAACCUUGUGUUGGAUCGGCCAUUUACAUGUAGCAAUUCUUAUGUUUUCGUCCUCGCUUCUCGCAAAACGCUAACCACAGUUUUCAAUGGAACACUUGGGUUUAUAUGGUUGUAUGCAA
This 1449-nucleotide ribosomal RNA is filed under the name Triticum aestivum (bread wheat). RNAcentral's name for it is "partial small subunit ribosomal RNA". Lineage: Eukaryota; Viridiplantae; Streptophyta; Magnoliopsida; Poales; Poaceae. The record is from RNAcentral.